This 465-nucleotide ribosomal RNA is filed under the name uncultured bacterium. RNAcentral's name for it is "partial 16S ribosomal RNA". It matches the Rfam family "Bacterial small subunit ribosomal RNA", at positions 28 to 507 of the family's 1533-position model. The record is from RNAcentral.
GACGAACGCUGGCGGCGUGCUUAACACAUGCAAGUCGAACGGAAAGGCCCUGCUUGCAGGGUACUCGAGUGGCGAACGGGUGAGUAACACGUGGGUGAUCUGCCCUGCACUUCGGGAUAAGCCUGGGAAACUGGGUCUAAUACCGGAUAGGAGCCAUUUUUAGUGUGAUGGUUGGAAAGUUUUUUCGGUGUAGGAUGAGCUCGCGGCCUAUCAGCUUGUUGGUGGGGUAAUGGCCUACCAAGGCGGCGACGGGUAGCCGGCCUGAGAGGGUAGACGGCCACAUUGGGACUGAGAUACGGCCCAGACUCCUACGGGAGGCAGCAGUGGGGAAUAUUGCACAAUGGGCGCAAGCCUGAUGCAGCGACGCCGCGUGGGGGAUGACGGCCUUCGGGUUGUAAACUCCUUUCGCUAGGGACGAAGCUUUUUGUGACGGUACCUAGAUAAGAAGCACCGGCUAACUACGUG